AUUGGGGUUGGUGUGGUAGGUGAGUUUGUCAUUAUUAUGUCCAAAAUAUUUCAUAUUGGACCACACUCUUCACGCAAACUUCUCAAAAAUUGCUAAACAUUAAAACUCUCUUCUUCAAUUUUUCCCGCAAGAUGGAGUCAGCUGAGGUUUGAACAAUUUAGUUUUCUUCUUUUUUUUUUCUUUCUUUUUUGCGUGAAUUAUCUGGGGCAAAUUUUUCCUUAAUUAAAUUAUGCCUCCAAGAUCCGUGAAUUUUACCGUCAAUUUGUGUAGAUUUGAGGAUAUUAGUUGUUGCCUUAAAUUUUUCAUAAAUUUUCCCUGAAUGUUGUUUGCGUGAAUUCUCCCUGAAUGUUUUUUGCGUGAAUUGAGAAGUGUUUGUGUGAGAAUUAAAACAAAUGCAUGAAUUAGAAACUUUGCAUUAAACAAUUCCAUGA
This 431-nucleotide long non-coding RNA is filed under the name Salvia miltiorrhiza (redroot sage). Its description in RNAcentral is "long non-coding RNA (SMIL_LNC009702)". Lineage: Eukaryota; Viridiplantae; Streptophyta; Magnoliopsida; Lamiales; Lamiaceae. The record is from RNAcentral.